This 332-nucleotide RNase P RNA is filed under the name uncultured Veillonella sp. RNAcentral's name for it is "Bacterial RNase P class A". It matches the Rfam family "Bacterial RNase P class A". Rfam says of the family: Ribonuclease P (RNase P) is a ubiquitous endoribonuclease, found in archaea, bacteria and eukarya as well as chloroplasts and mitochondria. Its best characterised activity is the generation of mature 5'-ends of tRNAs by cleaving the 5'-leader elements of precursor-tRNAs. Cellular RNase Ps are ribonucleoproteins. Lineage: Bacteria; Bacillati; Bacillota; Negativicutes; Veillonellales; Veillonellaceae. The record is from RNAcentral.
GUGAUUGCGAGCGUAAGUUCGAGGAAAGUCCGAGCUCCAAAGGGCAGGAUGCCGGAUAACGUCCGGCGUGGGUAACCAUAGGGAAUAGUGCCACAGAAAAGUAAACCGCCACAGCAAUGUGGUAAGGGUGGAACGGUGUCGGUAAGAGCGCACCAGCAAUGCAGUAAUGUAUUGGCUCGGUAAACCCCAUCCGGAGCAAGGCCGAAUAGGAAAGGGAUAAGGGUGGCCCGCCUACCUUUCGGGUUGUGCCGCUUGAGCCUAUAGGCAACUAUAGGCCUAGAAAGAUAAUCACCACUGCGCAAGCAGAACAGAACUCGGCUUAUUGAUUGCUU